RNAcentral lists this ribosomal RNA (468 nucleotides) under uncultured bacterium. RNAcentral's name for it is "partial 16S ribosomal RNA". It matches the Rfam family "Bacterial small subunit ribosomal RNA", at positions 28 to 507 of the family's 1533-position model. The record is from RNAcentral.
GACGAACGCUGGCGGCGUGCUUAACACAUGCAAGUCGAACGGAAAGGCCCUGCUUUUGCGGGGUGCUCGAGUGGCGAACGGGUGAGUAACACGUGAGUAACCUGCCCUUGACUUUGGGAUAACUUCAGGAAACUGGGGCUAAUACCGGAUAGGAGCUCCUGCUGCAUGGUGGUGGUUGGAAAGUUUCGGCGGUUGGGGAUGGACUCGCGGCUUAUCAGCUUGUUGGUGGGGUAGUGGCUUACCAAGGCUUUGACGGGUAGCCGGCCUGAGAGGGUGACCGGCCACAUUGGGACUGAGAUACGGCCCAGACUCCUACGUGGGGCAGCAGUGGAGAAUAUUGCACAAUGGGCGGAAGCCUGAUGCAGCAACGCCGCGUGCGGGAUGACGGCCUUCGAGUUGUAAACCGCUUUCGCCUGUGACGAAGCGUGAGUGACGGUAAUGGGUAAAGAAGCACCGGCUAACUACGUG